GACUAGCGGGUGCUAUACUGCAAGUCGAGCGGACAGAUGGGAGCUUGCUCCCUGAUGUUAGCGGCGGACGGGUGAGUAACACGUGGGUAACCUGCCUGUAAGACUGGGAUAACUCCGGGAAACCGGGGCUAAUACCGGAUGCUUGUUUGAACCGCAUGGUUCAAACAUAAAAGGUGGCUUCGGCUACCACUUACAGAUGGACCCGCGGCGCAUUAGCUAGUUGGUGAGGUAACGGCUCACCAAGGCAACGAUGCGUAGCCGACCUGAGAGGGUGAUCGGCCACACUGGGACUGAGACACGGCCCAGACUCCUACGGGAGGCAGCAGUAGGGAAUCUUCCGCAAUGGACGAAAGUCUGACGGAGCAACGCCGCGUGAGUGAUGAAGGUUUUCGGAUCGUAAAGCUCUGUUGUUAGGGAAGAACAAGUACCGUUCGAAUAGGGCGGUACCUUGACGGUACCUAACCAGAAAGCCACGGCUAACUACGUGCCAGCAGCCGGCGGUAAUA
This 506-nucleotide ribosomal RNA is filed under the name Bacillus subtilis. RNAcentral's name for it is "bacterial SSU rRNA". It matches the Rfam family "Bacterial small subunit ribosomal RNA", at positions 36 to 525 of the family's 1533-position model. Lineage: Bacteria; Bacillati; Bacillota; Bacilli; Caryophanales; Bacillaceae. The record is from RNAcentral.